Long non-coding RNA from Gallus gallus (chicken), 738 nucleotides. Lineage: Eukaryota; Metazoa; Chordata; Aves; Galliformes; Phasianidae. The record is from Ensembl.
CUUCCACCGUCAUAUCACUGGAGCAGCACCUCAUAAAGCAAACAGACAAACACUGCUGAACAGAGCUCUGAUAGAAGGUGGAAGACACAAAUUCUUGUAUGCUCAUUUUUGCAUACAAAAAUGAUUGUAUGCAUGUAUGAUACAUGUCUGCUCUUACUUUAUCACUUCAUAGUCCCUCCUGACAACUUCACUCUUCAGGAAUUGGACUUGAUCCUUAUGGGUUCCAUCCAACUUGGGAUACUCUAUGAUUCACAGGAGGUCAAACUGUAGGUACAGUACUGUAGGAGGAAGACAGGUUUUGAAAUGUGUGGCUUAUUGUGGAUGGCCAGAUGGAUGUGAGAGUAAAGGAAACUGUCUACUCAACAUUUUCACAGAGAAAACUGCCAAGCUAGAAAGUGAAGUCCAUGGAAGUCCAGGAGGGAAAAAGAACAGGAAUGGUCAAAAACAAAGUCCUGCGGCUAUUGGAACAUCAUCAGUUCUGGCUUCUGGAGGCCCGGUGCACCACAUUACAACCACGGAAGAAUGUGUUUUUAAAGUAAUUAUUUAAAUAGUGUUAAUUAGCUCUAUAAAAAUGAAAAAGAAUUUUUUUUUUCAUUGGGGAUCAUAAUAGGAUUUAUUUCUAUGAGAAAAAAUAAGGCUUUUUCAUAUUUCUUCAGCUUAUUAAAUUACCUCAUGUUCUUUUAACUCACACUAGAUUAAUAGCAAGGGAAAUUUCAAAUACAACUUGAUGUGAUUUAA